Molecule: ribosomal RNA, 482 nt
Filed under: uncultured bacterium
Lineage: Bacteria
Description: partial 16S ribosomal RNA
Rfam family: Bacterial small subunit ribosomal RNA
Source: RNAcentral
AUUGAACGCUGGCGGCAUGCCUUACACAUGCAAGUCGAACGGUAACAGGUCUUCGGUUGCUGACGAGUGGCGGCCGGGUGAGUAAUACAUCGGAACGAGCCCAGACGUGGGGGAUAACGCGGCGCACGCUUUGCUAAUACCGCAUACGUCCUAAGGCUGACAGCAGGGGACCGAUAGGACUUGCGCGCCUGGAGCGGCCGCUGGCCGAUUAGGUAGUUGGUGGGAUAAAAGCUUACCAAGCCGACGCUCUGUAGCUGGUCUGAGAGGACAACUAGCCACACGGGGACUGAGACACGGCCCAGACUCCUACGGGAGGCAGCAGUGGGGAAUUUUGGACAAUGGGCGAAAGCCUGAUCCAGCAAUGCCGCGUACAGGAGUAAGGCCUUCGGGUUGUAAACUGCUUUUGUACGGAACGAAAAGGCUCUGGCUAAUACCUGGGGCACAUGACGGUACCGUAAGAAUAAGCACCGGCUAACUACGUG